GACGAACGCUGGCGGCGUGCUUAACACAUGCAAGUCGAACGGUAAGGCCCUUCGGGGUACACGAGUGGCGAACGGGUGAGUAACACGUGGGUGAUCUGCCCUGCACUUCGGGAUAAGCCUGGGAAACUGGGUCUAAUACCGGAUAGGACUCCGGACUGCAUGGUCUGGGGUGGAAAGCUUUUGCGGUGUGGGAUGGGCCCGCGGCCUAUCAGCUUGUUGGUGGGGUGAUGGCCUACCAAGGCGACGACGGGUAGCCGGCCUGAGAGGGUGACCGGCCACAGUGGGACUGAGAUACGGCCAAGACUCCUACGGGAGGCAGCAGUGGGGAAUAUUGGACAAUGGGCGCAAGCCUGAUGCAGCGACGCCGCGUGAGGGAUGACGGCCUUCGGGUUGUAAACCUCUUUCAGCAUCGACGAAGCGAAAGUGACGGUAGGUGCAGAAGAAGGACCGGCCAACUACGUGCCAGCCGCCGCAGUAA
RNAcentral lists this ribosomal RNA (478 nucleotides) under uncultured bacterium. RNAcentral describes it as "partial 16S ribosomal RNA". It matches the Rfam family "Bacterial small subunit ribosomal RNA", at positions 28 to 523 of the family's 1533-position model. The record is from RNAcentral.